CGUAGGGGGCAAGCGUUGUUCGGAAUUACUGGGCGUAAAGCGCGCGUAGGUGGCCAAUUAAGUCAAAUGUGAAAUCCCCGAGCUUAACUUGGGAAUUGCAUUCGAUACUGGUUGGCUAGAGUAUGGGAGAGGAUGGUAGAAUUCCAGGUGUAGCGGUGAAAUGCGUAGAGAUCUGGAGGAAUACCGAUGGCGAAGGCAGCCAUCUGGCCUAAUACUGACACUGAGGUGCGAAAGCAUGGGAGCAAACAGGAUU
Molecule: ribosomal RNA, 253 nt
Filed under: uncultured bacterium
Lineage: Bacteria
Description: partial 16S ribosomal RNA
Rfam family: Bacterial small subunit ribosomal RNA
Source: RNAcentral